UGCAUGCGUGACUGUAAGUUGCUUUGGAUAAAAGUGUCUGCUAAAUGGCAUAUA
Molecule: non-coding RNA, 54 nt
Organism: Salmo salar (Atlantic salmon)
Lineage: Eukaryota; Metazoa; Chordata; Actinopteri; Salmoniformes; Salmonidae
Source: Rfam